This is a long non-coding RNA of Cydia pomonella (codling moth), 1488 nucleotides long. RefSeq lists it as uncharacterized. Lineage: Eukaryota; Metazoa; Arthropoda; Insecta; Lepidoptera; Tortricidae. The transcript is spliced from 2 exons. The record is from RefSeq and is a predicted model, not a curated record.
GUGACAAGGGGCGAGAGGGGAGAUGAACCGAACGAGAUGGUCUUACUUAUUUAACUUUCAGUAGCAGUAACGGAGAAAGGUCUAUUAAUGCUUGUCCAUGUCAGUUUCAUUUUCAUCAAAAAACUACUACUACUAAAACUACUUUUUACUAAAAUAAAUAUGCCCUCACAAGUAGGUAUUUCUAAAAAAAAAAAGGGUACGGUGACAGAUGUCAACUCCAUACAAUUUAUAACCUUAAAAGGCAAAAGCUCCCAAAAUUGUAUUCACACCUGUCACCGUACCUUCAUGAUUGAAAAAUACUAUAAACGGAUCAUCACUAUUUUUGUUACACCUUAUCUAAUACAUUUACCUAUACUUCCUUUGGGACACCGGACCGAAACCAUUCAUAUAAAAUAAACCAUUUACAUUGUGCCUUGCGCCUCUUCCCCGCACGACGCUAUCGAUGCUAGUCCUAAGUUAAGAAUAUGUAAACAAUGGCAGAUCUAGCUUUAUUGUGACCCCCAUAACCUUGUAUAAAUAUGGACGGGGCAAUCAGUUUUCGGUAAUAGACGAACUCUGAUCGGGGAGGAUGUCGUAACUGGUUCUCUAUUCGUGCCAUUUAAUACUAAGGUAAGUCAGUAAAUAAAUAUUAACCAGAAAAAUAUUGCAAACACUCUAUAUAGCGCUCCUAGCAACAAUAUUCAUCGACCAAAGGCUAUCAGAUCGAAAUGGAUGAACGACAAGGAUCAUCAAUUAAUCAUCCAAAUUGGAUUGAAAUCAUGAGGCAAGACGCAUAUGAAGACACUGAUGGCUCUAUAACACCCAAUUCCAACGUUCUUGAGAACCAAGAACCAAACGGAUGUUCAAAUCUUCCUAAUUGGUUGAGAAUUAUUGGACAAGACGAUAAUGAAGAUGUUAAUCCAUAUAUAACGUCUCCCAAUGAAGAAAUAAUUCAGUAUACAUGCGUGAAAAAUACUGUCAUCAAAAUCAUAAUGCUCAUGAAGCUAAUUCGGGAAACGGUGAGCAUCAUGUCAAUAAAUAUAUUGCUAGAAAAAUAACUAAACGGAUAAGAGAUCUUUUGAAUAAAUGUGACGAAGUUCAACGAGAUAUGAAGAAUUCUACGAAGAACUUAAACGAUAUUACAAUAGAAAUCGAAAAUGUGGUAAUGUUUAUGAUAAAAAUAUAUUCAGUGUUAGAUUUGAUGUAGGUAAAUAUUUAAUUAAUAUGUUUAAGAAGCAAAGUUUUUUUUUUUUUUUUGCUUCAUCCUUAUCCUUAUCUCGAUAAGUAUUUUUUUAUAUACCUACUUACUACAACCUCUAUGCUACCUCUUUAAUGCUUUCAUUCACCCCUUUAGAAAAUACUUAUGCCUGUUUAGUAUUAUAGGUACCUCAACUGGUCAAAGAACCUGGUACGAGUAGAGAUCUCUUAAAGGGCUAAGUUUACUUUUGUACGAAUGUGGUGUUAUUAGUGUAUUUCUUGUAUUUUACAAUAAAGUACUUUAUUAACUUA